Molecule: ribosomal RNA, 395 nt
Filed under: Rheinheimera mesophila
Lineage: Bacteria; Pseudomonadati; Pseudomonadota; Gammaproteobacteria; Chromatiales; Chromatiaceae
Description: bacterial SSU rRNA
Rfam family: Bacterial small subunit ribosomal RNA
Source: RNAcentral
CUGCCGGUGAUAAACCGGAGGAAGGUGGGGACGACGUCAAGUCAUCAUGGCCCUUACGAGUAGGGCUACACACGUGCUACAAUGGUACGUACAGAGGGAGGCAAGCUGGCGACAGUGAGCGGAUCUCUUAAAGCGUAUCGUAGUCCGGAUCGCAGUCUGCAACUCGACUGCGUGAAGUCGGAAUCGCUAGUAAUCGCAAAUCAGAAUGUUGCGGUGAAUACGUUCCCGGGCCUUGUACACACCGCCCGUCACACCAUGGGAGUGGGUUGCAAAAGAAGUAGGUAGCUUAACCGCAAGGAGGGCGCUUACCACUUUGUGAUUCAUGACUGGGGUGAAGUCGUAACAAGGUAACCCUAGGGGAACCUGGGGUUGGAUCACCUCCUUACCUAAAGCAG